This 4473-nucleotide long non-coding RNA is filed under the name Homo sapiens (human). RNAcentral's name for it is "HSALNT0273504". Lineage: Eukaryota; Metazoa; Chordata; Mammalia; Primates; Hominidae. The record is from RNAcentral.
CUUUCCACAAGUUGGGUGCAGUACAAUUGAAGAAGGGGAUUCUGAGGCCUUUCAUCUGUCAGAGUUAGCGUAGGGCUGGCUGUGGAGCUGGAAGUGGGGCAUCUGUCACAGAACCCCCCGAAAGCUGUUGAGACUUGGGAAGAAGAUUGGGACAAAUGAGUUUCAUGGGCUCCUGCUGCUGGCUGGAGCCUGUGUCCCCAGGUCCAGGCCUAAGGAGGAGAGGACUUCAGAACUGACCACCUUCAAGUCUCCUGCUGGCGGGAGCUUCCAUGUCUCUCUCGGGGACCCAGUGUCCCCACAGGCUGGCCUGGCACAGGCCUCAUGGCUGUGGGCUGGUGCUGGCACCCACUCCUGCCUGCCUCGCUCCUGCUUUUCACCUGUCCCCAUGCCCAUGAAAGGGUCAGCAUCCACAGCUGCAGCCACCAAGCCCAACCUCUGGGACAAAGACGUGUCUUGGUUUUGGCCUUUGGGGCUGGGCAGCCCAGGUGUUGUCACUCAGACUGUUCAAGGACCUCUAGGGCUCCCCUUUCCCACUGUGGCCAAGAAGACCUACAUUUCAGGGCCCAGCACAGCAGACACUUUCACCUUCUAAGCCUCUCAUAACCAGCUUCAGCCAAAAUGACCCCUGUCCACCCCAGCCUCCUCUUCUGCAUUUUCCAACUUGCCUGGCAUCUCCAGGACCCGGGAACCUUAGCACAUCUCUACCUGCCUGCCUACAACGUCCCCAAGAUGCGGGACAGUGGCCCCUUGCCACCCCUUAAAUUCUCUCUUGCCCCCAAGGCACCUGGGACAAACCUUGUUCUUAAGAAGAGUAGAACAAAUAUUCAUAAAAUGAAUUAAUGUCCAAGCUCUUUCUUUCCCUAUAGAGUCCUUGCUUCUCUGCCUCUCUCCCUUCUUCUCUCUCUCUUUCUGUCUCUGUCUGUUUCUCUCACCCUCCAUCCUUAUCUAAAGCUGGCAGAAAAAGAGACUUUAUUUAAACCCAGGGGCAGGAACUUGAUAAGGCAGCUUUAACCAUCAAGGAUCAUUACUUUUAAUAUUUCUCCCACACUCCGCAGUAGAUCUGAGCCAAAAGAUGGAGAAAGGAUUCCCCUGCUCUGGAAUAUGGGAAGAUUUGGGGAAGCCAGUGUGCAGAGGACAGGCUUCCACCACGAACCUGGACAGGGCCUGGAAAGAGAUCUUGGGACUAAAUGUGUAGGUACACACUUCUCCUGUUAAAUGCUUCUGGGAGAGUGUGUGUGUGUGUGUGUGUUUUGUUUGCUGCAAUAUCAUAUUGCAGUUCAUAUUGAUGGGAGAAGUUUGCAGUUGGUCCCCCACUUAACUGGAGAGUGACCUCCAAAGAAGAGCCACUGUGAGAGACUUUGGAGCAGCAGAUCUACAGAUGGCCCUUGGGGUGUGGGGACACCACAGUUAUUGAAACACAGAGCCUCCUGCAGACUGCACCGGCUGCGCCCUCCAGGGCCCAGGCUUGGUCCCUCUUCCCAUGGUGCAUGGGAAUCUCUCCACACACAGGGCUGUGCUGCUCUACUGAGUCAGCGUAGAGUGCUUGAUGGCACGAGGAGAGCGGGGCCGGCCAACGUCAUUGGAUGAAGGCUUCAGUCGUGUUUCCACAAAACAUAGACGUGUUCUCCUUUGUCGAUCCUCAGUAAGGGCACACCAAUGUGAUUUCUGUUAUUAAUAUAUGCUCUUCAGUUAUUCACAAAAGGUGAUGUGUCCCAGCACUAUUACCAUCUGUGAAGGCUUGUUUUGCUUUCUAUCUCUUAAUCAGAUGUCCUCAAGUUCAAAGAAGCAGUUUAUUAUACAUGUUUGGUCAUUGAUGCAACCACCGAAGACAUCAUUGCUUUCUAGUGAAGGGAAGCGUCAUUCCUUUUUAGUGAAAAAUCAUUAAAUUUGGAGUCAGAGUCCCCACCGCUCUCACUAAGAACCUGUUUCCAUGUGUUUGUGUGUGAGACACUCAUUGAUUACUUCAGCUCCUUCUCAGAUAGAGUUCAGAAAAGCACCUCAGAUUUAAUGAGGAAAAUGCAGGCAUAUGAACUCCUAAUGGAGUAAGGAGAAGAUGAGAGACCAUUGUGCUUCUCAGGUGACCAGAAACUCCUGUUAUUUUAGUGUAAUACUGUCAGCCUCCCAUUUGUUCACUCCAAGAUCAUUUAUUAAAGAAGAUGGAGAAGGAAAGCAACUUGAGCUGAGCACUUUCAAGGGGCACAAAACUGAGUGCAGCAGCUCUAAAAAUCAGGCCCCCAGACCACCUGCAUCUGAAUCACGGGGUUUGUGUGCUAACAAUGUGCAUUUGUGAGUGUGGCCUAGAUUUAUGCUGCCUUUACUGCCCAUGCUACAGAAACACCGCCUGGUGGGUAACCUGGACAAGUCAAGUGAAAUCCUAGCCCAGCGUCGUAAGUGGUGUGUAAGGGAACAGCCACUGAAAACCAAGAUGAUGGCAAACACUUGCUCAUGAUCUGUCACAGGCCUGCACCGAGUGCUGCAGGUGUGAACUCCUGUAAUGCUGCAACAACCAUUCUAGGUGGUGUCUGCUGUCAGCCUCAUUUUGUGGGUGGGGAAACUGAGGCACAGAGAGGUCAAGUAACUUUCCAAGGUCACACAGUUGGAAGGCUGAGGGGAUGCUAAACACAGUGGUCUAGCUUCAGAGUCCAGGAUCUUGAGUGCUAGGCUACCCGGCCUCUGCUGGGGUGUUAGAAGGAAGACCCUCUGUGUUAGAAGGAUAACUAACCACUUAGAAAAUUCAGUCUUUGAAGGUUUGGCUUGAGUUGUAGAUUUACAAACUGGGACUGAAAUUUGGAAAUACUGGACCCGAUGAAAUUAGAGAGAAAGAAUGGUUUGAUUGGAAGAGAGACAAACAAAGGUAUGCAGGACCUUUAUAAGGAAAUAAGUAAGAAUGUUUCCCUUGGAAGAAGCCCUGGGGUUCCAGUCUGAAACUACAGUUGAAAGAAGGAGAGGACCAGCUGAACCUACCUGGGGCCCCAUGGAUGCUUCUUCAGCCCAAGGAAACAAUUUCAUGCUCCUCCAAGAGAUGGCGCUGGCGUUUCUGAAACCAGAAUGGGCAUCUCUCAUUCCAAAGCUCCGCAGAAGUCUUUGGGCUCCUAUUUUGUUUGUAUGAUUGCUUCAAACUUGGAAAACCUUUACCUCUGUUCCACCAUAGUAGGGAAAAUACACUCCUCUGCUGGUAUUAGGUUGACCAGGCAACUGGCCAUAAUCAAAGCUUUUAAAGCUAAGUGUCUAUAGAUCUGUAGGCAGGAACUGAGAAAGAGAACUCAUUCCGGUUGAGUAUCCACCAGGUGAGGAGUUGCACAAACCCCUAAUCUUCUCGACCAUGAUUCUGUUGAAUAGGUUAUUAUUUUUUUAAUCCUGAAAUCAAGGCUCUGAGUGGUGAGACUGCUUGCCAAGCGACAUGGCCCAUGCAUGCUGGAGCUGGGAUGGAAACCCGGGCAGAUCUGAUGCCUCUGCCAACUCCGUUUCCACCACACCACUCUGCCUUAGAGGAUUGUAAAGAUGUCUGUGCCUAUGAGACGAGCCAUCAGUUAUCAUGUACUCUGAAUAUAAUGCGCCCCCACACCAAAAAAGGGAAGUUGUUAAAUUCCAGGUGCUAAUUUGUUUUCUUAGUAUUUGCUUUUCUCCUGAAGGUGGAAGCCAAUCCGAUUAAUUGAGGGCUUCAAUUAGUUGCGUGCAGGCUAGCUCUAGGGUUUCGUGUGCUUCCUGCUCCAAAUUGCUGUGUGACGAAUCACUCACAAUCCACACAGCUUAAUAUCCCUUACAGGAACAGUCAGUGAGGACUUCCUUUUUAGGAAAUGAAAAGCAAACAGAAAGGUCUUUUAUUUCAAGGUUCUUGAAUUUCUCACCCUCUGGUCCUACUUUACAUCUUCAAAGCUUAAGUGUGAAACAAAGGAAAAGUAGAAGAAAAGAUGUGUAACAGGAGGACCAGAGUUAAGAGACUCACAGAAUCAUUCUCUCUCCCUCCCUCUGUCCCUCUCCCAUUCUCUUUCUUUCAUUCCUCUCUCCUAACCUCCUGUUCUUCCUUCCUUUCUCUUUCUCCUUCCCUCCCUUCCUCCCUUCCUUCCUUCCUUCUUUCCUUUCCUGCCUUCCUUCCUUCCCUUUCUCUCUCUCUCUCUCCCCCUGUCCUUCCUUCUCCUUUCUCUUCCCUUCCUUUCCCUCCCUUCCCUUCUUUCUUUUCCCUCAGUAUGGGGUGAGGAAGGAUUAGUUACAGCCAGCAGAGGCUAUGGAAGCCAAAGCUUCUCCGAUUUAUACGUGCACAUGCGAUCACUCCAGGAUCUGGAAAAGAUACAGACUCUGAGUCGUGGGUCUGAGGUACAGAUGGUGACAAUUACUGGGACACUUAGCUACUUGUUUCUAUGCAGUGCUGGAACCUCAGUGAAUCUUAGCAAAGACCCUGCACUCUUUCCUGUGAGCAGCUGCUGCCAGGGACUAGAGAGAAAUGAGGCGAGACCUGUCUGUUUCACAGAGUCU